Amphilophus citrinellus (Midas cichlid) is the source of this 154-nucleotide small nuclear RNA. Its record names the gene U12. It matches the Rfam family "U12 minor spliceosomal RNA". Rfam says of the family: Although the U12 sequence is very divergent from that of U2, the two are functionally analogous. The record is from Ensembl. NCBI's taxonomy places the organism in Eukaryota, Metazoa, Chordata, Actinopteri, Cichliformes, Cichlidae.
AUGCCUUAAACUGAUGAGUAAGGAAAAUAACGACGCGGGGUGACGCCCGUGUCCUCGUACAUUUAACGAGACGAAUUUUUGAAGGGGCACAGGUCUGCCUGUUGAGGUGACUCGCCUACUUUGCGAGAUGCCUUGCGGGACUGGGACCUUCCCC